Molecule: long non-coding RNA, 4053 nt
Filed under: Homo sapiens (human)
Lineage: Eukaryota; Metazoa; Chordata; Mammalia; Primates; Hominidae
Description: HSALNT0358586
Source: RNAcentral
GACUCAGUGGUUGACUCAAAGGCUAGAGGGUGGUUUGGGGGUGGAGGCAGAGGUCCAGUGAGCUGGGCUCCACCCUUUCUCUCCCUGCAGUCCCAACUCCAUUUUUAUCUGUGCUAUAUGUUGGAGUCUAGCCAAGAUGUCAUUUGAACAAAGAUUCUGAAAGAUCAAAGAAAAAAGUUUGAAAACCACCAGGACAAUGCUUUCAGGGGACUUUAUCCAAAAGACUGCAACAAUGUAAAGAGAUACGAUUGCUUUUAUUACUGUGAUAUGUUUAAAGUAUUAUAAAUUUUUUAAGAGCUUUGUAAGUGACAGAAGUGAAGACAUGCUCAUUUUAAUGUUACCAGUCAACUCUGAGAAGACUAAAGGUCAAGGGACAAUGAAAAUGUGACCCUUACCAACGACAGAAACUCCCAGGAAGCCACAAUUAACUCAAGACCACCAGGAUAUUUGGGGAAGUUUAUCCUUCUGGAAACCAGAAUUUCUGAUUUGUGGAAAAUUCUAUAGAUAUUCUCUGCCAGACUCCAGCCUAUUUGUGUGAGACAUCUGGGGAGGCUCCCCUUUUUUUCACCAUUUGAGGACUGAAAGUAAAUUUAGCUUCCUCAGCAGAAAGAAAAGAAGCUGUUUUGGAGGUUGGGAAGAGCUUUAGAAAAUGCGGCAUCACGUCUGUUGCCCCAUUUGAAGAAAGCAGCUCUGGAAAAGGCCUAGGACAUUAGUUGCUACAAAGUUCUAGAUCAUUCUGUGUGGUAAAGAAGUGCCUUUCACCUCCCACUGUGAUUCUGAGGCCUCCCCAGCCAUGUGGAACUAUUCCAGAAACUUUCACUGUUAUGAAGAUGGCUCUCAGUUUUCCUGCUGGAUUCAGAUUCUCUUCAUGACUUAAAACAACAUGAGGAGGAUGAGUCACAACUGUAAGCUGGUGAAAUGCAGAAAGAACCACCUAGGAAUUCAAAUGUCAGCUUAAGAAAGACAGAAUGGCUUAAAAAUCAAAGAUGAGAUGAAGUGGACUGGGGGUCUCGGGAACACCAAGUCACAAAAUCAGCUUACAGUCAGAGGGAACUUGCAAAUGAUCUGAUUCAAGAUACAAAGAAAGGUUUUAGUUCUUGAGGACUUUUUCCAGAUAAAUAUUUGAGCCAAAGCACAAUAUAAGAAAAAGAUGCAAGUGGAACAGCUCCUUCAAGCAGUGGGGGAUGUUAAGGAAAAGCAGGGAAAAUCAGCUGAGAAUCCUCCGUCCCACCCCCAAGACUCCUGCAACCUAGCUGAGAGCCACAGAACUGGUCCUCUCUCUCCGGCUGUUCUCCAACAUCCCAGAGCCUUAGGUGGGGCUACACUAAGAGGAAGUCCUCCAAGGAAACUCUCAGGAUUAGACCAGUCUUUUUCUGCUAGUGGUCUUUGAUAAGCCUACAUGGUAAAGAGUGGGAUUCACUGACUUAUCUGUAGUAGAUAUUAUUAAAUAUGUCUCAAAGCAUCUCCCCCACCUUCUCACACCCACCCAUUAGAACAGGAUGUUAUCUACAGGCUGAUACCUCCCCACUCCCUCCACCUCCCUUCUAAUACAUGGCACCAAGACACUGCCUAGGACCUAACAAGUGAUUGGCCCCUCCUUCUCCAAGACAUUCCCCUCUUCCUUUUUCUCUUUUAAGCCCAGAGGGCCUGACCCUCUAACGCCUGUCCCAGACCACUCUCUCCCUCCAGGAGCCUGCCAAGUUGAACACAAAGUCCUACCACCCCUGCCCUCAACACAGACUUCUCCAAAACAAGUCCACAAACACCAUUCAGGAUGAUUCCUGCUAAGACCCACAGGGUGGGAGUGAUAAAAUUUCCAGUAACAUCUACCAUGAUAUUACUUACAAUCCUAAAAGAGGAAAUGUUCUGUAUUACAUAAAACAUGUCCAAGGUCCUCCUACAAGUACGAGUGAAUCCGUGCCUGGUUCUUCUUUGUCUUCGGAUCCUGCCACCUCAUCCCUGUCGUCAUCUGUCUAAGUUUUGCUUUAGAAGCCACCCUCGGUCAAACCUUCACUCUCUUACACAAUGAGCUGGGCAUCCUCAGUUUCCCCUUCAUGCUAAAAGUAAGCCCCAUGUUUUGUGCAUGUGCCCACACCAUUUCCUCAAGUUCUUGCUCCUAAAGGUAACAGGGCCUGGGUAAGGCACUUCCUGCAGAGAUCAAAGGAGACUCGUUCACACCCAGGAGGAGGAAUAUUCUUCCUGUUCUACCCCAUUUAACCCUGUCCCCUCAACCCAGAGGUGUCCUCACUGUCCAGCAAGUGCUUCAGGCCUGCAGUUCUGCUGUUACCCUAUUUUGAAUCUCAUAGGUGUGGAAGCAUGUGUUGGCGGGGAGGGGCAGGAAGGUUUGUCCGCCAGGAAGAAGAAACGAGUGUGUCGGUAUGUGUGUGUGAGCGCCGCAAUGACAGUGCUGCCACCGCUGCUGCUGCAUGUGCUGGGUCUUUGAAUGUGGCAUCUGUCGGGCUCAGUGAGGAUGACAGAUGUCUCUCUGCUUUAUGAACAAACAACACAGGCCUGUGGGGUGACAAAAACAGCCUCAGCCCAACCAGAGCGGAGAGGUGCAGUUCUCUGGGAAUAAUCAGAAGACAGCAGCGUAGGAGUCCAGAGUCUACCACACACCUGCUCCCCUAAAAAAGCAUGUUCUCAUUAUGAAACCUUAGAAGGCAGCUCCCACGCCAGGGACAAGUAUAAGGGAGCCUGUGUGGCCUCAUUCAUUACCAGAUGAACCACUCAUUCAGGGAAGUCUUGAGGCAUGUCCAGGAAAUGGCGCCCCAAAGACCCAGUUAACCCACAGGGUGAGUGCCCACGGAGAUGGGAGCUCUGGGGGUGACACUGUUGAGCCAGUGGAUCAAGCUUCACCCUGAGUCAACCCUAAUUCUGUGUUUUUCAAAUAAAUAAGCCAAUCAAUUUUCCUGUUCAUUUCUGUAUCCCCAGCACCUAGAACAGUGCCUGGCACACAGUAGGUGCCCAGUGGACAUUCGCUGAAAGAACAAACGAAUGCCAAGGCAGAAAAUGGGGGUGAGAGGCAAAGAUGUAUAAAAAAAGAACUAAGCAGAGCAAAGCGAUAAGAAGAAUAUUAAUAAUAUGAACCACAAAGACAGGAAAGUCAUCUGAUUUCAAUACACAAGAGUAUAAACUCAUUAUGGAUGCUGAAUUACACUAGUGAUAGUUUAAAUAUUUCUUGGAACUGAAUAUGCACAUAAGAAGAGCCCAUCCCAGGCUUGAAUGAGUGCACAUUCUUGUCUUGGAGAAAAGGAAGAAAAAUAUAUAAAGCAAUAGGUACAAUACAAUGCAACAGAUGUUCUAGAACAAAGGCCUGGAGCUAUGAUUCCAGGGCAGCCUGCAAAGAUCUCCCAGUGGAGCUGAUGAUUAGCAGGCCUUGAAGCAAGGAUGGAAGCCUGGCAAGAGGCAGGUCAGUCAUCACAGGCAGGGAUGACAGCUUCCAAGAACUAUGUCGUCUGUGAGCCCAGGGGCCAGAGAGCUGCUGGGUUUCCCAGUCUUUCCAGGCUAUGGCCAAACUGAUGAAGCCAUCCUUGUUUCAGUCUCUGAUUCCUUCAGAGAAGAAGAAAGAGUUGAGUCUAGCAGAGUCUCACUCUGCCUGGACGCCUGCUGUACCAGGAGAGCACUCCCUCCACAUGCCACUCUAAACAGAAAUACUCCCCGGAGCACCUGGGACGACCGGCAUCCUCUGCACUUCCAAGGCCUUCACUCUUCCCAGUUUUGCUUACUUCUUCUCAUCUUCCCAUUCACUUCCCAGAUGUGUUUCUCGGGUCUCCAAAGGGAAACUCAGGGGAGAAACUGAGUCAAGCUACUUUAAAUCUCCUUUCCUACCUGGCCCUUUCCACAGCACUCAGCCCAGAAGAGGUGCUCUGGGUGAAACAAAGCAGCAGUCGGAAUCUCUGCAGGCCACAGGGAGGGAGGGACGGGUAGAAUCAAGGAGUGGGGCACUAGCACGGAGGCCUGAGCCUCCUCACUGCCAGGAUGAGGGAGCCGCAAUGAUCUGGGGUACUGGCAGCUCUGGGAGCCUCUGAAUAGUGACCCUGGGGCUCUCAGAAG